CAAGAGCAACCCGAGGUGGAGGAGGCCAGAAAGCAUAACCACAAGGCAUCUGUGGAGGUGCAGACUCUCAAGGAAAACCUGAAGAAGGCAGAAGCCGACCUUGCCAAGAGAGGGGAGAAGACAGACCCAGAGAAGAUGAGGCCCGACAGUCGGAAUGAGAGUGCAGAGAUCAGUAGACUUGAGGAUGAAAUUCGAAGGCUGAACAAGGCUUUGCAGGAUGCUGAAAACAGAGCACGACAGGAGCGUCCAAGGACCCGUAUUACAUAUGCACCAAGCUCCGACUCCGACCGAGCCUCGUCCCUCAACUCGGAGGAGAGCGCUUGUAUGAUGAACUCCAGCGUGAACUGAUGGAGCUGACUGAU
Haliotis rubra (blacklip abalone) is the source of this 362-nucleotide long non-coding RNA. RefSeq lists it as uncharacterized. The transcript is spliced from 4 exons. NCBI's taxonomy places the organism in Eukaryota, Metazoa, Mollusca, Gastropoda, Lepetellida, Haliotidae. The record is from RefSeq and is a predicted model, not a curated record.